AUAGAUCUAGUUAAUAUACAUAACCUUAACUUGUCAAGUUAAAAUAGCUUUUGCGACCUAUA
This 62-nucleotide transfer RNA is filed under the name Stygobromus tenuis potomacus. RNAcentral's name for it is "tRNA-Asp". Lineage: Eukaryota; Metazoa; Arthropoda; Malacostraca; Amphipoda; Crangonyctidae. The record is from RNAcentral.